CAGUUCCUCUUCCCCUGUAAGUUUCCACAAAGUUCAACGUUCUGCUAGAGUCUGUGUGCUUCAACUCCACUCCAUCUGAUGGAGGUGAUUCCAAUAUGCUGCCAACGUUGAUCACUGCUGUAGUAGAGAUUCUCUCAUAACAAGUGGAAAGAAACAUAAAGGCAACAUCUGGUGUGCUGGAAAGAAUGCUGAAGAGAACCUGGAUCUAAGCUCCAAUUCUACGUACAAGCUGCCUGACAUUAGGCAGUGAUCCGGCUGCCUGCUCCAGUGUAAAAACUACCCCCAAAAUCAGUAAAGUAAAACAACAACCAUCUCAUUAUGCUCAGAAAUCCCAUGGUUAGGAAUUCAAAUAGUUCACUGUAGGCAUGGCUUGUCUCUGCUCCAGAAUAUCUGAGGUCUUGGUUGGGAAAACUUAAAUAGCUGGGACUGGAAUCAUCUAGAGGCUUCUUCACUUACUUGUUGGCUACCUGGGCUGGGGCUCAACUGUGAGAACCCUGGGCUGUGUACUGGUUCCUCAAUGGCGUGGGCUUCUUUAUGGCAUGGCAGCCUCAGGAUAACUGGACUUUCUACACGGCAGCUCAGGGCUUCAAAAGCACAAUCAUGGCUCACUGCAACUUCAACCUCCCAGGCUC
This is a long non-coding RNA of Homo sapiens (human), 632 nucleotides long. RefSeq lists it as uncharacterized. The record is from RefSeq and is a predicted model, not a curated record. The transcript is spliced from 3 exons. Lineage: Eukaryota; Metazoa; Chordata; Mammalia; Primates; Hominidae.